GCCAGACUCCUACGGGAGGCAGCAGUGGGGAAUAUUGCACAAUGGGGGAAACCCUGAUGCAGCGACGCCGCGUGAGUGAAGAAGUAUUUCGGUAUGUAAAGCUCUAUCAGCAGGAACGAGACAAGACGGUACCUGACUAAGAAGCCCCGGCUAACUACGUGCCAGCAGCCGCGGUAAUACGUAGGGGGCAAGCGUUAUCCGGAAUCACUGGGUGUAAAGGGAGCGUAGACGGCUGAGCAAGCCUGAAGUGAAAGGCGGGGGCCCAACCCCCGGACUGCUUUGGGAACUGUACGGCUGGAGUGCAGGAGAGGUAAGUGGAAUUCCUAGUGUAGCGGUGAAAUGCGUAGAUAUUAGGAGGAACACCAGUGGCGAAGGCGGCCUACUGGACGGUGACUGACGCUGAGGCUCGAAAGCGUGGGGAGCAAACAGGAUUAGAUACCCGUGUA
RNAcentral lists this ribosomal RNA (446 nucleotides) under uncultured bacterium. Its description in RNAcentral is "partial 16S ribosomal RNA". It matches the Rfam family "Bacterial small subunit ribosomal RNA", at positions 330 to 792 of the family's 1533-position model. The record is from RNAcentral.